Long non-coding RNA from Limulus polyphemus (Atlantic horseshoe crab), 214 nucleotides. RefSeq lists it as uncharacterized. Lineage: Eukaryota; Metazoa; Arthropoda; Merostomata; Xiphosura; Limulidae. The record is from RefSeq and is a predicted model, not a curated record. The transcript has 3 exons.
CCAAAAUCGAUGUGAAAAUGUACAUAUUAAUCAACAGGGGUCUGGUGAUAAACGUGAUCAAGAUGCCGAUGGAAGUUUCUUUGAGAACUUCACAGCAUUGUCUUGGAAACAGGAAAACAGACGACUUCAGUCAGGAAGAGAGGAUGAGUCAGGAACAGACCAAGCACCACCUAAAGAACCUGACCUCGGCGUUACAGCUCCAAAAUUUAAAAUU